Molecule: ribosomal RNA, 918 nt
Filed under: uncultured bacterium
Lineage: Bacteria
Description: bacterial SSU rRNA
Rfam family: Bacterial small subunit ribosomal RNA
Source: RNAcentral
AGAGUUUGAUCCUGGCUCAGAACGAGCGCUGGCGGCGCGUUUUAAGCAUGCAAGUCGAACGGCAGUCCGGGUAGCAAUACCUGGGCGAGAGUGGCGAACGGGUGAGUAACACGUAGGUGAUCUACCCCUGGAUGGGGGAUAGUCCGUGGAAACACGGGGUAAUACCGCAUGAGGCCUUGGGGGUAAAGCCCUGAGGUGAAAGCUCCAACUGGAGCGUCUGGGGAUGAGCCUGCGGCCCAUUAGGCAGUUGGCGGGGUAAUGGCCCACCAAACCGACGAUGGGUAGCCGGCCUGAGAGGGUGUACGGCCACACUGGAACUGAGACACGGUCCAGACUCCUACGGGAGGCAGCAGCUAAGAAUCUUCCGCAAUGGGGGAAACCCUGACGGAGCGACGCCGCGUGGACGAUGAAGGCCGUAAGGUUGUAAAGUCCUUUUGCAGGAGAAGAAUAAGCGGGGGAGUGGAAAGCCCUCGUGAUGACGUUAUCCUGCGAAUAAGCCCCGGCCAAUUACGUGCCAGCAGCCGCGGUAAUACGUAUGGGGCGAGCGUUGUUCGGAGUUAUUGGGCGUAAAGGGCGUGUAGGCGGCCCGAGAAGUCUGGUGUGAAAUCGCAGGGCCGAACCCUGCGGGUGCGCUGGAAACUGUCGGGCUGGAGUCCCGGGGGGGAAGCUGGAAUUCCUGGUGUAGGAGUGAAAUCUGUAGAGAUCAGGAAGAACACCGGUGGCGAAGGCGAGCUUCUAUUCGAGGACUGACGCUGAGGCGCGAAAGCGUGGGGAGCAAACAGGAUUAGAUACCCUGGUAGUCCACGCUGUAAACGAUGUGCACUAGGCGUGGGGCACGUCGGUGCUCUGUGCCGUAGCUAACGCGAUAAGUGCACCGCCUGGGGAGUAUGCUCGCAAGGGUGAAACUCAAAGGAAUUG